AAGGCCCUUCAAAGGGAGGUUUGACGGUUCAUGCGGAUCGUGAGUCAAAGUGGAAUUUUUGCUCUAAUGAGGGUAUAUUUUCUCGUAAAAAAGAAGAUUUCAUCAGGGAAUCUUUUUGAGUUACAUCUUGCUCCUCAGAAGGAUUUAACGCAGUCGAAAAAAGAAAAUGAAGAUCGAUCAUACCGUUAACAGUGUUGUUGGAUAUCGAACUAAUGUUAAUUUGGGUAGCAAUUAGAAAAUUAUAGAUACCAUAAUAACAUUUAUUCCAAUGCCAUGUGUGAGAUUAGGAAUGGCAAGGAAAAUAUUCGAGCGAUUAACGAUAAUUCUAAAAAGGAAGUUCGGCGAAUCAAUGUUGGAAAGAAGAGGAAGAGAAGAGUGAUGGAGGAGAUGAAGAAGUCGAAGAUGGGGGUGAAGAGCAUGAGUCCACCCUCGUCUACAAAAUCGAGAUGAUACUAAGGUAGGUUUAACUUUCAAAAUGAUUAAAUCUGUAGGGACGUUUGAAAAAUUAAAUCGAUUUGUUCCACGUUUACGUCACCUUGUCAUCCUUAUUCCAUCAAUUUAAAUUAAGUAAUCAUUCGAUUAAAUUGAAAGUAGAAGAAAUAUUAAAUUAAUUUUCUUAAUUGUUUGUCACAACAUUCACAUCGUGUACUUAAAAAUAUUUAAUUUGCGUUUUAAAGUAAUAUUGGAAUUCAACGAAUUUAUUUAUUACGAAUUAAUUAUUUCUUGUUAGCACGUUUUGAUAACUAUUUAAUGAAAACGCAUAUGCGUGUUACAAUCUUCUCUCAUUAAAUAUCUUCGUAUUAAACGAUUCAUCAUUAUUUUUCUCCGUUCGUGAGUGCUCUUCUCCGCGCUUGGAUACAUCAAGCGGUCAGGAACAAGUGCGCGGUUUAUAAGCGUACAUCUGUCUGAUUUGAAAAGAAGAGAAAAGGUAUUUUUUCAUUUGUUUUCCCCUUAUCAAACCACACAAACAUCUGGAUGAUAAAAUGCUCUGUACAACUCAAUUAUCUACCUAAAUCGUUCAUUUAAUUACUCGGUUACAUCUUUUGCAGAACCAUAUACGCGUCGCUGAUUUAAUUAUUCCGUUCGAACGAAUACAUUUUCCUAGAAAUUUGCUCCUGAUAGAAGAACUGAGAACAAUGAUCCAUAAUACCUCUAGUUAUCUAACAUUUCAUAUAUUAUGUUCAAAAUUAAUCAAUUCCUAGGAAGAUAUUUUAUUUGUCAAUUUUUAUUUGAGAACAGUUUAUUUUUAUUACGUAUAACCGAGCACAGCGAUUUUUCUCUGAAUAGGCGCACAUAGAAUCUAACACUUUUAUAAUUUUCCUGCAACUUCCUAAAGAUCUAUUGUUCUUCUUUCGUCGUUAUUCGGUCAAUAGAUUUCAAUUCGGUCAAUGUCAACAUUCUCUUCGCACAAAAUAAAUAAAUAUGAAUAAUUAAAUGCCAAAAAAAUUUUCCUCCUCGGGAAGUAGAUAAACGCAAUUCGAUUUUUACAUAGUGAAUGACAUGUGGAAUCAAAUGGGGAAAAAAGAAUCAAAAAGAAAAAAAAGAAAUAAAAGCAAAAAGGAAAUUUCCCGUAAACGGUAAUAUCGAUCCAAAAUUAUUGCUAACAUUAUGAAGAGAUAAUCGUGGAUAUUAGCUUCGUGAAUAUAUAGAAAAGAGAGGGUUAAACGAAACAGCGCAUGCUCGAGUCGAUAUGAGAGAUGUUGCUAGCCACCCGCGGAAGUUGAAUAAACCGUUUAUUCCGUUUCGAAUCGUGCUACCAGCAAGUUCCUGCGAGUGUCCAAAUAAUAUUCCAAACAGAAACGAUUCAGAAUAAUAUAUAAGCUCCUGACCAGUGAAAAUAGUGGAUAGUAUCUAGAAGAUUCUGCAGAACACACUAUCGAUAGUUGUAAAAGUUCUGAUUAUCAAUGGAAGCACAAUUAUAUUCCCUAUUACUUAUCGAAAGACGAAUCAGAUAUAUUCAUUGUUAUAUUUAUAUAUUGGCCUAUGUUACAAUGUAUAUACAUUUUUGUGUAUAUUUAAUUUGUAACAUCCUACAUAUCUUAAAUAUGAUGUAAGUUGAAAAAUAUGAGUUUAUAUUACUGACGUUAUGUUAUGCCCUAUUUUAUACAAGUUCAUAUCCAAUACUACGAUAAUAUGUUUUAUAGUAGAUUAUAGAAAAUUGCGUAGUUUCUUAUUAUUUUUUCAUGCUAUGGUUAACUUAUUUUUAUUAUUAUUAGAUACUAUAUUUUACGUGUGAUUUAUCUUUUACUUGUUGCAUAAUUUUGAAUUAUUGUGUAAUAUUAAACCGAGCAGAAAGCCUAAUUAGGGGUUAUCGGAAUUAGGAUAUUUCUUUUUAGACAUUUAUACGAUCCAAUCGUAUAAUGGUAUAUAGAGCCAACUGUUGCGCAUCUGUUUGUUAUUCCGUGAUAUUAUUCCGUAUUUGCUAUCUCAAUGAUACUACCUGUUGAAGAGUCUAACAAACUAGGUGAAUUGCUUGUCUGAAACUAGUAAUUGCUUGUUUGCGGGUCAGCUAAUCAAUUAGAAUAGAGAUGCAUGAUUCCAUGAUAAGCAUACAAAGAGACGAACGUAGAGACGACUUGUCUUCCGGGCCACAUAUCCGCAACCGAACCGAUUUCAUUUGCUUUUGCGAUGAAACCUAUUAGUUUUCGUUUUCAAUUAUUAUACCAUCCGUUUGCGUUAAUCUAAAGUUCAUUUCAGAAUGUUUUAAGGAGAUUCUCACAUUUUUUCUGAUAAAAAUAAAAUUUUGAAAAUGGACUCAAAUUUUUGCAUAAAUAAUUUGGACGCUGAUUAGGAUCAAUAUUUAUUAAUGUCAAUAUGAAAAUCAUUCCAUUGUAAUAGUUCCAAUAGAACUAUUCGGAAGGAGUAAAUUAAAAAUAUUUGAAUGUUCAUAUAUGUGAUAUAUACUAUUGAUAUUAUCGUUAUUGACAUCAGUAUUCAUAUAAUGGAGCUUCUCGGAAAAAUUAGUAAGACAGAUCUAUCGAAAUAAUUAUAUCCAUCUUCGUUUAUAUCAGUAUAUGUUAAUUGUUUCACACGAUCGAAUCGACGGAGGAAAUAUAGAAAUUUGUAUAAAGAGAAAUAGAAGGAAAAAGGUUUUUGAUGCGGUGUUACCACAGAUUGCUGAAAGUUGAUAUUCCAUAUGCAAGUCGAAAAGAGUCAAUUGCAGAACAGAAGGAAAUUAUUAAAGAAAAAUUUUAAUGGCUACUGUAUACAUCCAUUCCUGGCAAAAUGCUGCGGCAGCGAAAGAACUUCGAUGUUUAUUCGUCGGAGUACAAAGAACUGAUCUGGUAACUCCAAAUCUAAAAGUCCAAGUCAAUCAUUUGUUGAUUUUACACGCUACCAACAACUGCCAUUUUUAAAUUUAAGUCUAAUAGAAAAUAAAUUAAAAUUGUCUGAUAUACCGUCUGUGUUCCAUAGCAGGUAAUGUUUAGCGAAAUCUACUAUUGCUUAAACAGUGAAUAGUUUAACUCGUCGUUCAUUUAUAUCGUUUAAAUGAGUUUAAAAUUAGCAAAAGUUUGAAGUUUGACGUUUUCACCUUUAAAAAGUGAGGCGAAGCGUCAGUCAUUCCAAUGUUCGUUUUUAUUGACAUCACACGCAGCUACGAAACUCAGAUGCAAGUAUUCCAAUAUGAACAUCAUAAAUUAUUUAAAUUUUAGCUUAAAAUUAUUUUAUGUUAUUCGCGCGUUACGAUCUUCGUAAUGUUUAAGCGAAUAUACUAUCGUUUAAAUAUUACGAUUAUGAAAAUAAUUCAUUUGUCGAUUCUAUUAUAUCUAAAACAUUAACUUGAAAUAUUAUAAUUAUUACUAUAAUAAUAAUAAUAUUCAGUUUAUCAAAAAUCAAGCAAAAGCAUAUCAAUUCUUCGUUCUUUCGGUAAAAAGAUGAAAAGCACAGAAUGAUUUCUAUUUUGAUAUUUUUCCGUAUUUACCCUUUAUACUCCGCGUCCUUUCGAACAUUUGGCAGCAGCAACAGGGCGGUAUUAACGUCGCACAAAGUGGUAUAUAGUGUAACAUAUUACAUACUUCCACUUUGAUAGCAAGGAAUAUAUUACAGUGAUAUUUCAUUUACAUUAUAUUUAAUUAUAUUGUAGUAAUAUAGCAAAUAUAUUAUAUGAAUUUAUUGACAAAUAUUGACAAAAUUUCAAUGGAAUCCUCAUUUUAUUCUAGAUAAUUUUCUACGAUAUUUAUGACAAUUUUUCUCUCAAUUCUUGUACACCAUUUUCAUUGCUAUCAUUAUCUAUGAAAUUUCCUUAUUUUUCUAAUGAACUUUCCAAGAGGACAUCCGAGUGCAAAGGGUUAAAAAGAAAAAUAAUUGUUACAAAGUAGCCUGAAAAAAAAGCAAACAAAUAUGUAUUGAGAAAGUAUUACAAUUUCAUAUUCUCUAUGUUUGCGGUAUAUGUAAACUGGAUUUUUGAUUUAUAUUUACUUUUCUCUUAAUUUUUCAGAAAUUCUCUUAAGAAUUUAUUAUUCCUGCUCGGAAGAAAGAUAAAUAAGCAUAAACUUUCAUUUGUUGAAUGAAUUCUGAAUACAUAUUUAUUUGCUUUUUUCUUUUGUUCUUUUUUUUCUUAAUUAAAAUUUCUUUCGUUAAUUUAUUUUAUGGUUUAAUUUUCUUUUUAAUCAUAAAUUGAUUUAUGUACAUAGAGAUGCAUACUCCGAGAUAAAUAGUUUAUCAUAAAAUAUUAAAUAUUUAUGUUGACAAUUAUAUAAAUAUGUAGGUAUAUAAAUGUGAUUAAAUGUUAUACUAUUAUGUUAUGUUUGUGUGUGUGUAUGUGUGUAUGUUUAAACACACAUCCACAUAAAAUCUGUAUAUAAGAAUAAGUGUUAUACGAAAUUAUCGCUAAUGUAAGUUUUAACAGUAUGUAAUAAACUUAAAAGCAACUACAAAAAUAGUUCUAUGUCCCUUUAUCAUUAAUUAUG
Molecule: long non-coding RNA, 4910 nt
Organism: Vespula vulgaris
Lineage: Eukaryota; Metazoa; Arthropoda; Insecta; Hymenoptera; Vespidae
Exons: 6
Source: RefSeq, a predicted model, not a curated record